Long non-coding RNA from Homo sapiens (human), 21282 nucleotides. RefSeq lists it as uncharacterized. The transcript is spliced from 6 exons. The record is from RefSeq and is a predicted model, not a curated record. NCBI's taxonomy places the organism in Eukaryota, Metazoa, Chordata, Mammalia, Primates, Hominidae.
AGUGUAACGGUGCCUCUGUGGGUUACAGCACCAUGGUCAAAACUGGAAAAAUAGUUUCUUAGAAACGAAUAAAGGCAAACUAUGGGAAAAUGGUCAUGGAAGGCUCUCUCACUAAGAAGAAGAAAACUCAGAAUGUCUUGUUAUUAGCAACAUAGAUCUCCAACUAAAGGGCUUACUCAUCCCUGCACUUGUGAUGUCUGCAUGGAGAUGGUGAGUACAGGGUCACCUUUGAGUUCUCUGUCAUUGUCAUAUUUUUGCUGUGCUGCUUCCAGAAUCUUUUUCAUCAUGUAAUCAGAGAUAGUGAUUAGGUCUGGGUGGUUAUUGAUCAUUUGGGGAAAAUAGACUUACUUUAAUCCUUCUUCAGAAUGGAUUCCCACAGAUAAGGUUUUCAUCUGGACUUAUUUUUACUGAGUGAAAGUGCCAUUUUCAAGAAACCCCCAAAGCUUUAUAUUUUAGAAUAAGUGAGGCCCAUCUAUGGGAAAAGAAAGCCACAGAAGACACUGAAAAACCACAUGACCCGGUGUUAAAUCAAGAAAAGCGUCUGGUAGGCAUGGGAAAGCCUGUUUAAGCUUCGAGGUCACUUUCUGCAUCUCAGCUCCUGUUUAUUUUCUGGACCUUGGUCAGCGUCUUCUUGACAGUGUAAUUUCUGCAAUGCAGCUGGACUUUGUGACCCAUAAUCAAACCCAGAAAGCCUUCAGCAAUCCCAUCUGGGUGAGGGGCUCCAUUUUGUUUGGUUGAAAUGAAAAAGUUAAACCUCCAUCCAGACAUGCCUCUUUGCAGGCCCAAUGACUCUUCCACCAGCAGGACACUUCGUCUUUGAAUAGGCUUCUCAUUUUCCAGACAAGCUCAGGGGAUCUGCAUCCUCCAGUAAAAUUUCUGUCUGCACAAAAUUGCCUUUUAGUGGUGAUUUAUAACUCAAUAAAAUGACAUCUCAAAAAGGAGAAUUGGUUUGAGUCUAUAACUGAUGUGAUUUAUGCAUGUUUUAGUUUUGGAAUACACAGAAUUUAUGCAAUGGAGAGAGGUCUCUGUGAUGUGAUGUGCAGAUGUACAUCCACAGAACUCAUGACAAGGAGGGAGGUGCAAAUGUCCUCAGGCAUCCUCUAAGCACAGACCUCCCUGGGUUCUAAUACAAAGAAUAUUCUUACUGAGCUCAGCCUCAAGCAGAGGGCUUCAUGAUUUUCUGGGUAUCAGAAACAUCCAUGGAACUUGCUAAAAUUAUACAUUCCUGGGCUCCACCCUAGAACCCAUGAACUAGAUUCAUUAAGAAUGGGGUGGGGUCCAGGGAUCUGUAGUUUAACAAUCUCUACAGGUGGUUCCAGUCACAUACUUGAGAAACCACUCCAAGUUGAGAAACACUUGUAGUUUGUAAUCAUUCACUGCCAAUGAACUAUUUGCUGUAAAAAGGGGAAGGGAACAAAUGCUUUUUAAAUGCCUUCUUUGUGUCAAGCAUUGUUGCUAGACAAUCUAAGUCUAUGUUUUUUUUUUUGUUUAAAUCUUGCAACAGUCCAAUAAGAUGGGUAUUAUUAUAUUCAUUUUGCACAGGAGAAAUUGGAGGUUCAGAGAGGUUAAGAAAUAUUAGCAAACAGCAAGAUAGAGAUUUGAACCCAGACCUUUCUGGCGCCACAGUGCACUUUUCCACUAACCCAUGUUAGCAGCCCAGGAUUGGGCCAAAUAUUUUCGAGUUUUUAAUAUGUUACCCUUAGAUCUACUGAGAGACAUUGUGAGAAAUUUCUUUGUUUUCUAUCCCCCCCUCUCAGCUUUAUCGAAGCAUAUUUGACAAAUAAAAAUUGUAUAUAGUUACAGUGUACAACAUGAUGCUUUGAUAUACAUAUACAUUGUGAAAUAAUUACCACAACCAAGCUAAUUGAAAUAUCUGUCACCUCACACCAUGACCGUCUAUGUGUGUGUGUGUGCGUGUUGAGAAUAUUUAAGAUCUACUGUGGUAGCAAGUUUCAAGUAUAUAUUAAAUACAGUAUUUUUAACCAUGUCACCAUGUUAUUUAUUAGAUUCCCAAAACUUGUUCAUCUUGUAACUGAAAAUGUGUACUCUUUGACCAACAUCUUUCCAAUCCUCCCAGUCCCCCAACCCCUGGUAAGCACAGUUCUACUUUCUGCUUCUAUGAGUCUGUCUUUUUUAGAUGCCAUAUAUAAAGUGAGAUCAUGUAGUAUUUGUCUUUCUGUGCCUGGCUUAUUUCACUCAGCAUAAUGUCCUCCAGGUUCAUCCACAUUGUCACAAAUGACAGGACUUCCUUCUUCUUCAAGGCUGAAUAGAAUUCCAUUGUGUAAGUGUGUGUGUGUGUGUAUGUGUGUAUGUGUGUGUGUGUAUCACAUUUUCUUUAUCUGCUCAUGUAUUAGUAGAAUCAACACUUAGGUUGAUUCUAUAUCCUGGCUAUUGUGAAUAAUGUUGUAAUGAACAUGGAGGUGCAUAGAACUCUUUGAGGUACUGAUUUCAUUUCCUUUGGAUAUAUACCCAGAAGUGGAGUUACUGCUACAUAUGAUAAUUGUAUUUUUAAAUUUUGAGGAACCUGCAUGCUGUGUUCCAUAACGACUAUACCAGCUAAUAUGGUUUGGCUCUAUGUCUCUACCCAAAUCUCAUGUUGAAUUGUGAUCUUCAGUGUUGGGGGAGGGGUCUGGUGGGAAAUGUUGGAUCAUGGGGGUGGAUUUCCCUUUUGCUGUUCUCGUGAUAGUGAGUAAGUUCUCAUGAGAUCUGGUUGUUUGAGAGUGUGUAGCACUUCCCCCUUUGCUCUCUCCCUCUCCUGUUCCAGCCAUAUAGGAUGUGCUGGCUUCCCUUUUGUCUUCUGCCAUGAUUCUAAGUUUCCUGAGGCCUCUGCAGCCAUGUUUCCUGUACCGCCUGCAGAACUGUGAGCCCAUCAAACCUCUUUUCUUUAUAAAUUACCCAGUCUUAGGUAGUUCUUUAUAGCAAUGUAAGAACGAACUAAUAUAUCAGUUUACAUUCCUACCAACAGUAUACGUGGGUUCCCUUUUCCCAUAUCCUCACAACACUUAUUAGUGUUUUUGAUGAUAGCCAACUGGGGUAAGAUGAUAUCUCAUUAUGGUUUUGAUCUGUAUAUCCCUGAUGAUUAGUGAUACGGUUUGGCUGUGUCCCCACCCAAACCUCAUCUUGAAUUGUAUCUCCCAUAAUUCCCACAUGUUGUGAGAGGAAUCUGGUGGGAGGUAAUUGAAUCAUGGGGACGGGUCUUUCCCGUGCUGUUCUUAUGGCAGUGAGUAAGUCUCACAAGAUCUGAUGGUUUUGUAAAGGGCAGUUCCACUACACAAGCUCUCUUGCCUGCUGCCAUGAAAGACGUGCCUUUGCUCCUCCUUUGCCUUCUGCAUUGACUGUGAGGCCUCCCCGGCCAUGUGGAAUGGUGAGUCCAUUAAACCUCUUUUUCUAUAUAAAUUACCCAGUCUUGGGUAGGUCUUUAUUAGCAGUGUGAGAACAGACUAAUACAAUUAGUGAUAUUGCACACCUUUGUAUGUACCUCUUGGCCAUUUGUAUGUCUUCUUUUGACAAAUGUCUUUUCAGGUUCUCUGCCCAUUUAUUUAGCCAGAUUAUGUUUUAUUGUUAUUAUUGUAUGAGUGCGUUUUAUUUUUCUGACUGUUAACCCAUUAUCAGAUGGAUGGUUUGCAAAUAUUUUCUCCCAUUCUGUAGGGUGCGAGAUAUUUCUUAAGAAGAUAAUGGUAAGUCCUUCCACUCACUUGAGGAAAGUAAAUUUCAGAUUUGUAGUGGACACUGGGGUCCAUGACCUGACACCCCACUUCAGGCUUAGUCAAUCAUUCUGUCAGCUAUGGAAGGGUUGGCACCUAGCAGCUUGCUUCAGAGUCCCCUCUUGAGAUUGUCCCCAGCUGAGGCACAGCACACCUCCUCCCUCGGGUGGCCUGUUUACAGUGACUGUCUAGGAAGGGGCAUAAACUUCCAACUACCUUGCCUCAGUUCAGACAACAUGGAAGGACAUCCCAGCUUUGGAGGGCCUCUGUGACUUGCUGGGGUCUUUAUCCUGAUUUCAGCUUCCUCCUCUGCCUAAUCCUGCUUCCUCUCUUGCCUUGACAGUUUCCCAGGAGCACUCUCCACAAACUUCCAGCAUGCCAAUCUCCAUCUCAAAAUUUGCUUCUCUGGGAAUGCAACCUGUGGUGUUGCUCAAUCAAACUGUUCCUGUAGACACAUUACACCCACGUUAGGUGUGUGAUGGACUGAAUUGUGACCCCCACCCCAAAUUCAUGUUGAAACUUUAACACCAAGGAACUCCAAAUGUGACUGUGUUUAGAGAUAGGGUCUUCACAGAAGUAAUUAAGUUAAAAUGAGGUCACAUGGGUGGGCCCUAAUCCAAUAUGACAGGAGUCCUUAUAAGAAGAGGAGAUGAGGACACAGCCACCCACAGAGGGAAGACCACACAGGGAGAAGAUGAAGGUCUACAAGUCAAGGAGAGAGGCUUCAGGAGAAAUCAACCCUGCAGACACCUUAUCUUGGACUUCCAGCCUCCAGAACUGUGAGAGAAUAAAUUUCUGUUGUUUAAGCCCCCACUCUGUGAUACCUUGUCAUGGCAGCCCAAGCAGAUACAAUAGGCGGAUUUAGAGGUUCUUCGUUUUGAUCCUGAUUCUUUCACUUUUAUACUUAAGGAACAACUCAGAAAUCUGAACAGGUUAAAUUCUCUUUUAAGUAUAAUGAAGCAGGAUGGUAAUUCUCACUACAUAGUGUUUUCAUAUUCCCUACAAUAGGUCAGGAUAAUCAUGUUUUUAGAGAGGUGAUAAAGAAUAUGCAUUACCUCUCUUCAUCACAUCUCUCUGUUUACAGCAUUUACUACAAACCUGAGGCAGAUGUAAAUACACGGUGUGGAUAAGUACCUUGGAACUGCAGUGAACUUGCAUUUAGUGGGAAAGAAUGGCAAAAUUUCCUUCCUUCCUUUCUUUCUUCCUUCCUUCCUUCCUUUCCUUCCUUCCUUUCCUUUCCUUUCCUUUCCUUUCCCUUCCUUCCUUCCUUCCUUCCUUCCUUCCUUCCUUCCUUCCUUUCUUUUCUUUCUUUCUCUUUUUUGAGACAAAGUCUUGCUCUAUCACCCAUGCUGGAGUGCAGUAGCGUGAUCUGAGCUCACUGCAACCUUCACCUCCUGGGUUCAAGCAAUUCUCCUGCCUCAGCCUCCGGAGUAGCUGGGAUUACAGGUGCACAUCACCAUGCCCGGCUAAUUUUUGUAUUUUUAGUAGAGACAUGGUUUCGCCAUCUUGCCCAGGCUAGUCUUGAACUCCUGACCUCAGGCGGUCCACCCACCUCGGCCUCCCAAAGUGCUGGUAUUAUAGGCGUGAGCCACCACGCCCAGCCGAUUUGGCUUUUUUUCUUUAGAUAAACUAUAACAUGCCAUGCCUGGCUGCAGGCUUCCUGCCCUAAUGCAAAGGUGAAAAAGCUUUGCAGUUUAAUUUGUUUUGUUUUUUUUUUUUUUUGGUUUUCAUUUUUUUCUGAGCCAGCCCCUUUAUUCUUUAUUGUCUUCAGUGGAGCAAUGGUAAAUGUUUAACUACCAGCUCUUUGAAAAUGAAAUAAAACAGAACCAUCCUGGGAAAAGAAUGCUGCAGGGUGCCAGCCUCUCUGCAGCCAGGGACAGCUCUCCAGGUGUGAGGAGACCUCUCCGCCUUCCUCCUCACACUGAUAUUAGUGCAGUUCCCUCAGGGCUUGCUUUUAUUUGCUGAGGCUUCUUGUAAGGGGUUUACUUUUAAGAGUAUUUAUGAGUUUAGCACAGGCUUCCCCAGUGAAUUUUUCUGUCCAUGCCUUCACUCAUGGUGUCUUCAUUGUCACCUCUGGAACCAGAAAAAUCACAGCUUAAGGAAGUUCAGGUGAGUGACCAAGUCUAGCCCCAUCCAGAUUCCCAAGGCUCAUUCUCCCACCAGGCCUUUCAUUAUGCUCUGUGUCUCUCAUCUUCUCCCUUCAAUGAUUUCUUUUAGCUGCACUGACUUGACUUUUUAUGUGCUAUAAAACUCAGGAAGCUUCUUUUGAGGGCUUAGUACGUGCCAAACACAAUUCUAAGCAACAUGCAUGUUUAAUCAUCACAAACCCUUUGAGGUCGGUACUAUUCUCAUUCUCAUAUUGUAGAUGAAGAAACUGAGGCACAAAGAGGGUUAAUAACUUGUUCAAGGCCCUAUUACUCAAUAGAGGCAAGACUGGGAUUCAAACUAGGCAGUAUGGCUUCUAGUCCGUAUUUUUUUUUCUUUUCUUUUUUUUUUUUUGGAGACAGAGUCUCGCUUUGUCGCCUAGGUUGGAGUGCAGUGGUGCAAUCACAGCUCACUGCAACCUCUGCCUCUGGGGUUCAAGCAAUUCUCAUGCCUCAGCCUUCUGAAUAGCUGUUACUAUAGGUGCGCACCACUACACCCAGCUAAUUUUUCUAUUUUUAGUAGAGAUGGGGUUUCACUCUGUUGGUCAGGCUGCUCUCGAACUCCUGACCUCAACUUAUCUGCCCGCCUUGACCUCCCAAAGUGCUGGGAUUACAGGCAUGAGCCACUGCACCCAGCCCCAGUCCAUAUUUUUAACCAGCAUCCUACCUGAAAAAGAGCAGUAGGAAUAUAUGUAUGCGUAGUGUGAAGUGAUGUGUGUGUGUGAGUGUGUGUAUCUGUGUGUAUGAAAAGUUAAAAUAAAGUUUAAUAAUGGGGGAAAAAAUCACCCAGAAGUCAUGAAAUUAAAGACCUCAAAGGCCCUUUUGACUCAACAUAGAUAAUUCUAAAGCAAAUUAAAAAAUUGAGGUGGUGAAAUUAUAUGGUUUUUAGGUUUAGAAUUCCAAAAGUUGAGAAUCAGCAUGUAUUGGAAAUACCAUAGAACUAAUGUUAAUUGCAGAGUUACAGCUGGAAUGAAAUACUGACUUGCUUCAGGGAAUGUUUUAUCUCCCUGUAUCUCUCUGUUUUUGUCUCAGUUUAGUAAUGUUGGCUGAGUAGGUAUAAAAAAUGAGAAGAGAGACAUUUUUUGUUUCACUAUUCAUAGAGAAAUUGGUAUUUAUAUUGAAUGGAUUGAGAAUUCACAAAUAAAUAUAGUUUGUUCCAGUUUGGAUUACUAAUUUGGUUUGGUGGAAGCCUCUGAAGUAUCCAGUUCUGUGACAGACUUUUGCCAUAGAAUCUAGUACUAGCGAGGAUUGUUAAGAGGUCAUUACCUUGACCUUAAAACAUCACAGUAAGCGGGCUAUUGUCCAAGAUGGACGAAUAGGAACAGCUCCAGUCUGCAGCUCCCAGCAAGAUUGAUGCAGAAGAUGGGUGAUUUCUGCAUUUCCAACUGAGGCACCUGAUUCAUCUCACUGGGACCGGUUGGACAGUGGAUGCAGCCCAUGGAGGAAACAGAGAUUCAAAAGGGUCAGGUCACUGGCUCCAGGUCAACUCUACUACUAAACAGAAAAGCAAGGACCAAAAUUCAGAUCUUUGUGACCCUCAAUGCCACUAUGCCAUGCGAUGAUGCCUGCCUCUUUUAGAGGCCAACUAAUAGGCCAACUUGAUUUUCUUGAGGAAUGGCCGAAUGGAAGUUGAAUGGUUGAAGGUGACUGGCAAACAGAGAAACAAGGCACCAAGAACUGGCUAUUUCCAAACGUGGGCAAUCAGCUUCUGAAUGAAUAGUUCAGAAUGAUGCAGCUCUGGAUGUUGGAAAGGACAAUUCCGGCGUUUUACUCUUCUGACCAGUUUCUUCGUUUUCAUAACUCUACUUGAAGAACAUAUGAUGUUUGCCAGUGUCUGACAUUACGGACCUCACAGCUUACUGAAUCUGAAAACAGGAGAUAGAGAUGGAAAGGAAAGCCUCAGGAACUUGUUGCAAUAGGGACUGCCAGGUCCCGUUGCACUAUUGGUGGAAGAGAGGUCCACACGGUGCCUACGAUAAGCGAUUUGUUCGUAUCUAUCCAGACUGCAGGUGCAUACAGCCACUCAUCCUCAAAUGCCAUCCUCAGGAGUUUAUGCUGCACACAGACUGGCACAUGUGCAGGAAGACAUAGUGCAGGGCUACGUGCUACAACAUUGUUGGUGACAGCAACAUAUUGGAAGCAACCUGAAUUUUUGUUAAUAGAGGAUUGGCUACAUAAAUGAUGCUAAUCUAUACAACUGGAGUACUAUGAUGCCAUAAAAAAGAAUGUACAAGGUCUUUACGUUUGGAAAGAUCUCUAAGAUAUAAUGAUUUUCUUUGCCUCUCAAGGGAGCUGGGAGAAACUCAAGUCUGAAACUCAAACUCAUCUCAGUCAUUCCUUUCCCUUCAACUAGACCUGAACCUCAGGAGAUCUGGAGUAUGUGCUGAAUUCUACUGGGAACUGAGCCCUCUGAAUAUUAUUAUUGUUUUGCUAAUACUUUUUGCUGGAAAGUACAUCAAACCAGGAUGUGUUGUACCUCUUGCUUUGCCAGACUAUUUAAAAGCAAAAGUGACCAGAUAUCCAACUUAAGGCUGAUCCAGGUUUUUCAUGAUCUAGCCAGGGGAGACAAACCUUCCAGGAAAGUCUCUAGCGAAGGCCAAGGAUUUUAGAAAGUAUCUGUGAACAAAGAAAUGCAAUGUUAGUGGGCUAAUUUCCAUAAUCAAAUGAAGCUGAUGCAAGUGCUUUGUGAAUUGAUGCCCAUCAACGAGAGACUGGAUAAAGAAAAUGUGGCACAUAUACGCCAUGGAAUACUAUGUAGCCGUAAAAAUGAACAAGUUCAUGUCCUUUACAGGGACAUGGAUGAAGCUGGAAAUCAUCAUCCUCAGCCAAUUAACCCAGGAACAGAAAACCAAACACCACAUGUUCUCACUCAUAAGUGGGAGCUGAACAAUAAGAACACGUGAACACAGGGAGGGAAACAUCACAUAGCAGGGCCUGUUGGUGGGCCGGGGGCAAGGGAAGGGAGAGCAUUAGGACAAAUAUCUAAUGCAUGCGGGGCUUAAAACCUAGAUGACGGGUUGAUAGGUGCAGCAAACCACCAUGGCACACGUAUACCUGUGUAACAAACCUGCACAUUCUGCACAUGUAUCCCAGAACUUAAAAAAAAAAAGAAAUGCUUUGUGAAUUAGUCAGGUUCACUGAUGGGAGCUUUGGUCCUGGCACCUGAGGACUGAGCUGGGGGAACCCACACCCAGGCUGCCCAAACACACAGAGGCAGGAGAGGUCAAGGGGCAUCUCGUGGGUGUGGAGUUUUGGACACGGUAUUGCCAUUGUCAGACAUGUGGCUAAGCCUGCAAGGAUGAGAGAGGAAGGAGGAAACCAGCUCCUCUCAACCCUGCAUCAGCCUGAGUGCUUUCAAUCUCUCUCAACCCUUCUCCUCUCUUUUCUCUUUUCUCCUUCCCUCCUUCCCUGAUGGUUUGCCAGGAAGCACAGAAUAAUGGAGUUCAGUGUUACUCAAGGGGCAGUCACCUGCACAGUCAUUACCGGAAUGACGUGUUUCAUCAGAUGUUUCAAAUCCCGAUUCUUGGGGCCUGCUCUAAACCUGCCUACCAAGGCUCUAGGGGCGAGGCCUGGGGACCUGCAUUGUUUGCAAACACCCACAGGUGAUUCUUACAUGCACGAAGCCAGGGAAGCAUUGAUAGAAAAGGUCUUAGACCAGCAGCCAAAAAACCCAAGUUCAAAUCCAUUUACUACCUGGGUGGUCUUGGGCAAGUUACUUAUUAAUUCCCGGCAUGGGAGUCAAUACUACUUUAUAGGAAUUUUUUAUAAGUUAUAGGAGAUACGCUGUUAUGUUAUAGGAGUUAUUUUUUUCUCUUUGAAGAUUAAAAGAGACAAAACAUAUGACAAGGCUGGCAAACAUUGAGCUCUUGCUACAUAGUAGUACACAGUGCCCUAGAGAGUUAGCAAAGGGACGGUGAGCUCACAAAAAUCUUUGUAGGCCUCAGGAUAUAUAUAUUUUGCAGUGACUUUCAAGGCUGAUCUAACUCUCUUUGGAUGAACACAGAGCAAGGAGACUUGCCCACUGAGUGACUUUACUAUACCCCCAGGCCUUACUAACUUGCCCAGGAGUGGGGAAUAUAGUGCUAGAAGGAAGCCAAAGCAAUAAAGAGACACUUUCAGAAAAGCAGGCACUGCAAAGACAACCAUUCCAGCUGGAAGAGCAUGUGGUGGGAGUGGCGUCCUCUCAGACAUGAUCCUCUGCAGGGCUCAUGGGCUCAAAGUCACAGGUUCUCACCAAGGGUGAUGAUUUCCCACAGGGAGCAUCUAGCAACGUCUGGAGACAUUUUUGUCACAGGGUAGGGAAAGGGGGUUGCUACUAGCAUGCAGUGAACAGAGGCCAGAGAGGCUGCUAAACAUCCUACGGUACACUGGACAGUCUUCCACAACAGAAAACUGUCUGGCCCCAAAUGUUCAUGGUUUCAAGGCUGAAAAACACUGCUCUAAGCUAAUGCAGAAGACUUAGUCAUGGGUGAUAGAAGGAGGCCCCUAGGUGGCUACAAACCUCUGAGGGACAGCCUUCCGCUGUGGUGUUGCAAAGUCUCCCAGUUGCACAAGGUCCUGGCGUCCUGCUCAUUGGUGGAUCACCAUUAACCACCUUGCACGUCACAUGUUCAACAUAGCUAGUUUCCCACCCAUUCUUAACGAUGAUAAAUCAGGAAAAGCAUUCUUAGAACACUAGAAAAGCAGAAGUGUGGCUCUCUACAGGGCAGCGGGGAGGUUGCCUCACUCCUAGAAGAUGUCUUGUUUUUACCAAGAGGGUAGAGGGAUGAGAGGAGCUGGAAGACCACGCUGAGGAGCCACGUCCAGACACAUGAAACGAACCUCACAGCCCCACAAGGAUGCCGGGGAGGGCACUCAGUGCUUGGGAUCAGAGCCACGUGGCCACUGGUUUCCGAUGCCCCUUUGCUAGUAUCUGGCUUCCGUGAUUCCCUUGCCUUCAUUUUGUGGCUCUCUCCUGACACUGCCGGCUGAGUGUCUUAGUUAACCAGUAAUCUGGCUUUUCUCCCUCCACUUUGAUCUUCCUGUCUCUGCCUGUCUCCUCUUUCCUGGCAUGGCAUGUGCUCUCGGGCUGUACCUCUGGUAGUGAAUCUCUGGCUGCCCUGGACUCCUGCUGUGCACACUGCCCUGUGUGCAGGUCUGGAUGCCUGGUGUUCCUUCUCAGUGCACCGCCCGAUCCCCUGGGAUCUCUUCACCAUUUUCAUGCAUGGUGCCACCCCACGUGCAGGGCCAGCUUCAUGGCACGUCACCUGUGUGCUUGCAUAGGACUUGGUGCUCAGAAGGACUUCUUGAUGGGUUUCAUGCUCUGCGGCCACCGUAUUAAAAUUGUAAUAAUUUCCUCUUGAAACUUGUAUUUUGUAAGUGACUUCUGAUGAGACAGCAUGGAAUGAGCAGAAACACAGGAGAUACGUGUGCCUGUCCUUUCUUGUCACCCUAUUCACAUGGAGCAUUCGCCAUGAACUCAGAAUUCUGGUGUAUUCACAAUGUGUGGGAGUUCAUGAAGCUUCUAAGUGACUCCCAAGUGUGUUUUGUCUAUGAUGAGUUAGCUGGGGAGGGGGAGGGACACUGACAGCCCUGAGAGGCCACACUUUCCAUUUGAAAACCAAAACUUGCUUCAAACACAAAGGCAGCAGUGGUAUUCUAAGAAACACAUAUGACCAAGGAAACUUGGUUUGACCUUUCUUACUCAUGUUACUUCUUUGCAUUUGCAAACAACUUAAACUGAAAAUGAAGACACAGAAAGAAAUAGAAAGAUAAGGCAACCCAUAGGCCUUUUUUAAAUUCUUCCUUACUUGUCAGUAAGCCAAAGGUAGAGAGCAUUGAUAGAACGUGCAUGUAUCAGGCCGGGCACGGUGGAUUACGCCUGUAAUCCCAGCACUUUGGGAGGCCGAGGUGGUGGAUCACCUGAGGUCAGGAGUUUGAGACUAGCCUGGCCAACAUGGCAAAACCCUGUCUCUACUAAAAAUACAAAAAUUAGCAGGGUGUGGUGCCGGGUGCCUGUAAUCCCAGCUACUCGGGAGGCUGAAGCAUGAGAAUCAUUUGAACCCAGGAGGCAGAGGUUGCAGUGAACUGAGAUCAUGCCACUGCACUCCAGCCUGGGUGACAGAGAGGGACUCUGUCUCAAAAAAAAAAAAAAAGAAUGUGCAUUAUUGAGAAGCGAAAUAAAAGCAUUGAAUUAGUUUUGUGCAGCAUUUUCCACUGUUCUGGUAAGAAUGAAAUAUGCAAAUUGCAUCAUUUGGAACAAUUUAGCAUACAAAUUAAAUGCUCUUAUAUUUUCGUUUAAAGCUGGCUUUGCACAAUAUAAAGAUGAAUGGUAAGAUUCAUGCUAACAAUUUAAAAUUUUAAUUUUCCUUUACUUAGAGUGGCAUUAAAUAGCGAAUAAGAAUGAUUUUAAAAGCCUUGUGACAAGUCAAAAGAGAGACUGCAGAAGAAAAAAAGCGGCUUUUAUUUUAGUACCUUUCACAGCAGAGGUUGUUUUUGUUCCUGCUUUUGAAAAAGGGCUCCUACAUUUUCGGUUUGCACUGGCAAACCUUUUAAUGAAACAGUAAAGCAAAGUUCCUUACAUUAAAAAGGAGUCAUUUUUAAUCUCCCAGUCUACAUAGACCCAAUUUUCAUUUUAACAAGUUUCUUGGCUGGGUGCAGAGGCUCAACGCCUGUAAUCCCAGCACUUUGGGAGGCCGAGGCGGGCGGAUCACCUGAGGCCAGGAGUUCGAGAUCAGUCUGGCCAACAUGGCGAAACCCCGUCUCUACUAAAAAUACAGAAAUUAGACAGGUGUCGUGGCACAUGCCUGUAAUCCCAGAUACUUGGGAGGUUGAGGCAGGAGAAUCUCUUGAACCCUGGAGGCGGAGGUUGCAGUGAACCGAGAUCUUACCACUGUACUCUAGCCUGGGCAACAGAGCAAAAACCUCAUCUCAAAAAAAAAAAAAAAAGGAAAAACAAAACAAAAAAAACCCCAAGUUUCUCCCAAGUCCGCUGGACUUUGUUAUCAGAAGGUCUUAUGAGCCGGGUAUUUAGCUCUGCUGUGAGUUCAAAGCAACACAGGAAUAAAGCACAGCUGCUGAACCCAGGUCCUCCCUGCUCAUGAUUAUAGCUUGCUGUGGGACUCCACCAAAAUUGCAUUCUGUGUUUAUGGCAUCUAAGAAAUUCUUGAGAGUGGUACUGAUCUACCAAUUAAACACACUGGUAUGUUUGGCCCCAUGUGGCAGACAAGGAAAAGGGUUUACAUUUUCUUAUGGGAAAUAUUUUCUUUCUCAUGCUUAACUUUUAUUGUUCACAGAGGUUUUCAAAGUAUUGCCAAAGUCUAUGAACACCAUUCUGGAGUCACCUGGACAUUCUAGACUUUCAGAGCGGCAUGGGUGGUGUUUUACAUUGUAUUUUUUUCUAUCCAGUGUGGAUUCAUAUUUUUUAAAUCAUAAAAAUUCACCAGCUUCCCUCUGCCCCUCCUGGCCUUUGUCACUGAGAACACAGGAGCACAUGGGUGGCUGUCUGAGGCUUGGGCAAGGCCCUGGGCUUGCCUGGGGCCCAGCUGCCCCUGCCCCGUACCAUCUUCCUUCCCCCUCCACUCAGGAACAAAAGGUCCCACGGUUCAGGCCAUCUGGAUUUGGAGCUGUCAUUUAUAGUCGCCCAAACUUUGAGGAUGACUUACUUGUGAAAACAUAAGAGAUGCAUUCAGAUAGGAGAAACAAUUUUGAGAACCAGGAAAAAGAGAGAAAGAGGUAGAGUUGUGUGGUGAGAAAAGGGAUGAAUUGGCAGUUGGAGACUUGGGUUUUAGGUAGAGUGACCAUGUAACUUAUUAAUCAAACUGGAUUUCUUUUGAGAGCGACAGGGAUUCCUACUGGUGAUGAUGCUGGGACAACAGGAGCACAUAGGGACUGUACUGGUGUGGCAUGGCCACCAUAGUUCUAGGGCAUUAAUCAUCCAACUGUCAGCAAGUCACUUAACAUCUCUGGGCCUCAACUUUUGAAGAAAGAGACAAUCGGACUACAAUUUCCUUAGUCCUUUUACCACUAAGGACCUCUUACUAAUCUCUCUCCACAGUCUUCCUGAUUUCAAAAUUAUCAUAUCAAUUAGGUACUGAGUGAUAUAUAAUGAGUGCAAGUUCUGUCAAUCAGAACUUUUGUCAGCAUUGAAAUAACCAGUUAUUGCACCGCGUUCAUACAGUUUUAGGCAAAAGAAAACUUGACAUUUUAAUACACCUGUGAGUCCUAUUUAAAGUACAUCGAACAGUUCUGACACCAUUUUAGAAAAUGAUAAUAGCUUUUGAGUCCCCUCCAGUAUCUUCACAGUCAAUAGACCUCGAAGUCUGGAGGUUGAAAGCCACGUUACUCGAUGAUCUGUUGGUUUAUAUCCAGUUCUAGUCUUCUCUGAUCACCUGAUAACUUCAGUGCCUCAUGCUAUAAAACACAGACAGAGAAAGACGAUGGAAAGUGAAAGAGGGCCUGCUGGAAGUCAGAAGCUGCCGUCCAUUAAUGUGGGUCCAGCAAGAGGGCCUGUGUGAAGAUGUUAGAUGGGGAGGCAAUCCCUCAUGCUAGGGUGCCUGGACAAAGUUUCUGCAGAGGGAAAAGAGGAUGCUUUGCCUUGGGGCAAAUUUCCUCCUGGCUUAAGUCGUCUUAAUCCACACCUGGGAGAAUUCUUAGGGUGUAUUCACAACAUUAGGAGAUCAACAGGGAGCAGGAAUGGAACAGCUGUGCAACAGCUAUCUCUUUGCUUCUCUUCCACUUAUAUGAGCUCACCCUAGGGGGAAAAUGGACAGUCAAAAGCCUUCCACAGAUCAAUAACAGUGGGUAAAUCUGAGGUCUGCAGAAUCAAAGAGUGAAAUAAAUAAAGAACAGGCCUGCUGCCUGCUCCCAUGGGUAGUACUAGCAUUCUAGUUUCUGUGGCAAUAAGCUUGCAAUGUGCUCAGUGGGGGCAGUGCCACCCACCACGUGGUGCCUGGGAGUGCGUGCAUUGGUGGGUGGAUGGUUGUGACAAUGACCAGAGGAGGACACCACUUGCAUUCUGUGCCCUGUUGUGUGCUGGAGACACUCCCAUAAGGAAGAUUCAUCCCACCCAAAAUGUCAAAAGUAUCUCCACUGAGAAACGCUGAAUACAAGAAUGGGCUUUACAUUCAUACAUAUCAGGAAUUACUUGGAUCCUGUAACAGGGUUAAAAUAAUCCUGGACAACUUCCUAUGGUGCCAGACCCUUGGGCAGAACUUCCAGAUGAAGCAGAUUGAUUCUAAUUGCUCCUGGAUAAAAGAAAAGAGCACAGGUCAUCCCAGAAGGCACUGGGCAACCCACCCCAAGCCUAACAAUAUAUUAAGUGUUGGGUGUAGGGAUGGCUUCUCUUUUCUCUCAAACUUGACAGCACUGUUGAAUCAUUGUCUUCAUUUACUUAUGAGAUGAUUGGCAUUGUCCUUUAAAGCAGAACAACUUGAGCUAAAGCUAAAGGCCGGUGUGCAGCAGCCGGGUGACCCUUUGUCUCUACUUUGCCUUCCGUGCUAAGUGUUGACUUCUGCUGAGUUUGAUUUCAUUCAUUUCAGCUAGACAUGUCUGGUGAAUAAACUUCUUACCAAUCUUCCCCUGGAAUGGUUGAGUCAGCUCUGGUGUGAGUUAGUGGCCCCAGAGGGGAGCAGGCCAAGACGCCCUCUCCAUGAGAUACCUCCUAAAAGGGAAGAGGUCAUUGAUGACCCACAAAGGAGGCCAGGACCAUAAACAUUUCAGAAUUCAGUUGUCUUAAAAUCUUAAAUAAUGACAAACAUUUGCUUGUUUGAGCCUUUUAAGUCUUCCCGUCUUUGGACUUGAGCCCCAGUGCCUGGCUGCAGAAUUCCAUGGUGAGGCACAAGCAUGACAUCAUGUUCAGGAGGAAUGCACAGCACAUAAAGUCUUGCCUGGGUCAGAGAGAAGUGCUAAGCCCUCAAGAGGGCCCUAAGACAAAUGCACAAAUAUGGCCUAGCACAUGUCAAACACCCGUGCAAGGGCAAACAUCUUUAUGACUUUGGUCCUGGGAAGAGAGACCCGGCUUGGGAUUAGAAAUUACAGCUGACAAGCUGCUGAUGAGGCAGUAAUGACAUUCAGCGUGGGAAUGGUCACUUUGGGAACUGGGAGCUUAGCACACUAGGCUCCAAGUCUCAGAGUGAAGCCCGGGGCAACUCCUUCACCUUGGCUGGAAUAAGUUAACUCACCCCACAACCUGUCCCCCAGGACCUUUCUCUGCCUUCCUUUGGGGUUAUAGGCUUCCCUGCAGUUCUUUAGGGUUUUGACGCACAGGACAAUUUAACAUCAAGGGAAUGCCCAAGUUGGGGGAAGAAUAUCUUUCUUGGCUAUAAAUGUUACUCUGAAAUUCUUCUCAACUGUAAUGUUUUAAGAGCACUUACAAUGUGCCUGACCUGCCCUGUGCAAUGUCCCUCCCCUCUUAGAGCUUACAACUCAUAAGCACGCUUGCAGAUGUCCUCCCUGAUCCCCAGAGCUCCAGCCAACUUCAGUGUAGGGGUCCCCUAGGGGACAUUUAGCAAUGUCUCGAGAUGUUUUUUGACUGCCACAACUGGGUGGGGGGGGCGGUGGCUGUUACUGGCAUGUAGGGGAUAGAGACCAGGGAGGCUUCUAAACAUCCUAUAAUGCACAGGACAUCCCCACCCCCAACAAAGAAGAAUCCAGUCCAAGAUGGCAAUAGUGCUAAGCCUGAGCAACCCUGCACUGGGGAGGGCCUUGCCUUUGCAUAAGCCAAGAAGGAAAUUACUUAGAUUUGCACCAUCCAAUGGGGAGCUUCCUGUGAGACCAGAAAUGAUCAGUAUCUGUGCUGUCCGAUGUGGGAGCUACCAGCCACAUGUGGUUAUUGAGUGGGUCAAACGUGGCCAGUGUGACUGAGGUAGUGAGUUUUUUAUUUUAUGUAAUUUUAAUUAAUUAAAUUGUAAUCGUCCCAUGCAACUGGUAGCUACUCUGUUAGGCAGCACGAGUCCAUACAGCGGGAGCUUAGAUGCACUGAGAUCACCUGCCCCCUAGUCAGAUGUCCUUUCCACUGGUUUAUGACUGAGAAUCCAAAGUUAGACACUCCUUCUUUAGCUAAGACUUUAACCCGUGUUGGUAUGACAUUAUCUGUGGGAGGGAGAAGACCUUUAACUUGUAAAGAGCUGUUGCUAAUUUAAUAUGACUAACGGAUCUGAAAGAUAUUUUGGCGGGAACAGAGAGCACUAAGAGGCCUAGGGUAAAAAACAGGACCCCGUGAGAAUGACCAGGGGGUAAGCUUGGGGAGGGGCUAACUAGGAUACACUGGGGGAGGUGGAGACAUAGGCUAGACGUAGCAAAGGCAACCAGUGCUUUCUUUCCUCAUAUACACUCUGCUGAGACUGGAAGCCAAUCACUCAGCAUUCUCAUCAGACUCAUGUCUGUGAAAACCAGAGCCAAAGAGUGCCAGGAAAGACAAGGUCCGUGACAAAGGGCAGCCUGUUUCCUGCUUUUUCUCUUCCUCCUUGUGGCUUUUAGUCUAAGUCCCCAAGCACUGAAAUAUUUUGGUGCCUCCUCCCAUAUAUAAACCCAGAUUAAAGCAAUACUAAACCACAAAACAUAAAAUGAUUUCUUUUUAUCAGUUAUAAAAUUCUGGAUAAGUCCAUGAAAGCCUCAUUGUUCUGACUUUGGCUGGCACCCCAAGCAAGUAAGCACCUUGUUGUUAACCUAGCACUGCUUUAGGGUCUGAGUAUUAGGGCUGUUUUCUCCGUAAUCCGUUGUUUAUCUAGUCUAUUGUGCAAAUUUUCACAAAUGGAAUAUUGUGUAGAUACUCUACUCUACAGACUCUAGAGAAGAAAGUCAGCAACCUCACCUGGUAAGCUCCACCUACCCAUGUUUCUAGAGAGGGGAAAAAAUAGCUGAAACAAAUCAAACCAAACCCAAAAUGCUCUUUUCCUCAAUGUUCUGCAGGGCUCAAAUGUGAGCUUCUGGUAGUAUCGGCUUUGGUGAUCUCCAUGGGGAACAGUGGAGACUGAUCUCAAACAGUGAGUUCACCAGAAUUAUGGCAGUGAAGGGGAACUGCGGUAUAAGAAUUGCUAAAAAGAUAAAAAUUGUUCUGUCCAGAGAGACGCAAGUUGAGAGAGAUGUAGGGCUGAGAGAAUAGAUAGUUGUGAGCAUUUACUCCUCCACAAAUCAUGAGUUUUUCUGAAGCAACAGGGUGAGGCGGGGGUGGGGGGUGUGGACAGGAAGGUAGAUAAAUUUAAAACAGUAAAAUAGUAAAAGGAAGUAUUAUAUAAAACAGUGUGGCGGUGGUGGGAGUGGGGAGGAGAUAUGACUUAAGAAUUUUUUAUCCCAACGCUAAAGGGUGCAAAAAUAAAAGGGUUCAAAAAAUGUUUAAAUGUAAAAUGACAGUUCCAUAACAAAUUAUUGACUGGAGGAAACUGAAGAUGUUUAAAGCUAAUCUCAUGAGAUUAGCAUAGGAGGUGCUCCAUCUCCUUCCAAAAACGACCCCUUGCCAUUCUCCAAAAUGCAACACUUAGACCUGCCUGAUCAUGAAUCUUUGGGUUUAUUUCAUAUGGCCACACUUGUUGUGGAAUAAGGUCAAUUAAACCUCACGGGUAAGUUUGCAAUUAACUGACAUUUGACAUAAGCAGCUUUUACGGGUUGGUGCUGAAACAGGCUGAGAAACACAAUCCCUCCCUGGGUAGAACUAGGAGCUUUCCUGUGGCAGCAGCAAGCCCAGACAUACAGAGGGCUGGAGGGGAGCUGUAGUUCAAAUGCAGUAAUAGCUGUUUUUAAACUGAUCCGCUCUAAGUCUUUGAGUGCAAUGGCUGAUUAUUGGGUCAACAAACAUGAAAAGCAUUGUCAUUGGCCCAAGUUUGAACCAGAAGCAACAUGUCUUUCAUGAGCAUUUAGGAUGAAAGAUGUAAGAUUAGAAAAAAAUGUUGGUAACAGUGAGCAUCAUUUGAGGGUCUUUGUAAUGUGUGUUUUGCCCUAAGAGGAAAAGUAAGGCAAGAUCUAUGAAAUGUCCUUGAUCUUUUUGCAACCUAGAGUUGUAGGCCCUGCAUUACCUUCAUGUUUCCAUUUCAAGAACUGCCAGGUUUGUUUUCCAAUGAAACUUUCAACUGUCAGCUUAAUAAGACUGUGACCAUGUGGUGCAGUGAACAAUGGUUCAAGGACUACUUCACUGAGUGUGAAUUUGACUACAUUAUGCCUAUUCUUAAAAUCCUUAAAAUUCAUCAAUGGUUCUCCAUUACCUCCAAGACUGGGAGUUUCCUUGCUAGGAUGUACCACUCUCAUCUCUCGCCUCACAUUGCGCUACGUCCGCUUCUCCAAAUGCUCCAAGUUCUCUUGUAACACCACAGCCUUGCACGUGCCAUGCCUUCAUUUUAGAAUCAUACAUGCCUUCUCUACAAAACCAUCCUAAGCAGCUCUUGAAUUAGAUGCUCCUUUGCACUCUGUGCUUAACUUGUUUACAGCACACGUCGUGUUCUAUUUAAGUGACCUCCCAACUAACCUGUGAGAUUCCAGAAGCUGGGUGAGUGUGCUCUGGAACUGAUUCUUCUGCUAGAUGCUGAGAACAUGUGGGCAAUGGCACGUUCUCAGCAUCUAGCACCAUCCCAGGCACAAGUGGAGCAGAGGUAGAUCUGUGCUUGAUGAUUGAAUGGAUGAGUUUCAGUGAACUGUGAAUGAUGGGGAGCUUUUCAACAAAGCCACACUCCAUGUUUUCUCUUCAGCAAAAUAAAUGCUGCAUAGAAGCGGUUAAUAGUCCCCCUUAUGUCAGCUCAGCACAUAGAUAUAUGAGGAGUCCCACGGUUUCCCAUAAGCCAAAUAAGACAAAGUAAAAGCAAUAAUGGUCCAUACACUUCAGAAAAAGGAAGGAAGGAAAAAAGGAAGGAAGGAAGGAAGGGAGGGAGGGAGGGAGGGAGGGAGGGAAGGAAGGAAGGACAAUUUUCCCAUGAGUCUACUGUCAGUGAAAGCUAUUAUUUAAAUAGCAUUUUUUUCCGAGGCUUUGUCUAUCAGCACAAAGAAGAAAGUGAAAUAUAUUGGGUUCCAUCCAUGAGAUUAAAAGAGGAACAUCUUUCAGUUCCCAAUCAAUCAAAAGACACAGGUUGUGUUUCAAUCAGAAGCCAUUUCUGAAGAGGCACAGGAGCGUAGGAGAGUUGUGUUAGGCAAUGGAAACCAAACUGAGCCUGAAAUGAAAGCCUGGGUCAAUUAGUCAGUUUCUUUCCCAAUAUCUGCCCUAACAUUGUCUUCUAAGUUUUUGGAAAUGAAUACGCUUUAUUAUUCACCUCAGUUGGAUUUAUUGUGCCUCACAGGUAUUGACUCCUCUUGCUCUUCCUCCUCUCGCUAUGGAAAGACUGAGCAGAGGAAGUGCUCGGACAGGCAUGCCCUCCCAGAAUGCAAGAAAGCCAUCAGGCAAGCGGCAGGUGCAGAGACCACAGCCAGGGCCACACAGCCUGGAGAGGGACUCCCUCCUGGCAGGGAAGGCUGUCUCUACUUGCUCCUCUCUGAGAAUGCUCACCAGGUGUGGCUGGGGGUUUUGGCAGCCUGCAGCUGUGUUUAGGAGGGCAUUUGCUUUAUCUACCACAUCCUUUGAGGAUUUCAUUGCAGGCCAUUUUAUCCACUUUAAUGAAUGUUCUGGCAGCUUGUGAACCUGGGGCUGUGUCUGCAUGCCCUGAACAGUGCUUAUGUUCACCAUCGUUGAGGUUGAAUGUAACAUAUAUUCACAGAUCCUUCUGCCACCUCCUUUUCACAAGAUGGACCCUCCAGUUCUGGCCAAAACAAGAAGAAAGCUGUAAAAAGAAGGGCUUUAGCCCAAAAGUUGGGGUUGCUCAGUUUUUUUCCUUUCCCUCAUACCCCAUCAGCUAAUUAAUCACCUCCUACUGCAAUUUAUAAUUCCUUAACAGUUUUCAAAUCUGUCCUCUAGAUUAGCUAAAUAAAUAUAGCACAUCAAUCAAAAAUCAAGUUCUAUAAAGUUACUAAUAGGGAAAUAUAUAAAGUGGAAAAAGCUGUUUAUAAAAGUCUGAGUAAAUGACUAUAUAUGUACAUAGAUAUGAUUUUGAAAAGAACUUAAUAGGAUACACAAACAUUAAUAAGAAUGCUUAUUUCUGAGUAAUUAAGGGGCGAUUUUGUUGUAUUCCUUAUACAUUUUAAAUGUUUUAAUCCAAAAUUUUUUACAGUGAGUAUGUAUUAUCUUUUGUCAUCUGAAAAAUAACACAAAUAAAUAAGUUAAAAUAGAAUUAACUGAAUUUGUACAAAUCGGGCAAGAUAAGGGUGCCCCUGUUUUCUCUAUUCAUGCCACCGCUACCACUGUUUAGACUAUUGGUCAUAAUUUUUUUCUCACCUGCAAAUAUCUCCUUGCCUGUUACUUUCUCUUCAGUUUCUUUCCCCAUUAUUCAUUCUCUCUGAAAAUAUUAGGUUGGAGCAAACGUUAAUUGCAUUUUUGCAUUGUUGGAAUUUGCUGUUUGAUAUUGGAAUACAUUCUUAAAUAAAUGUGGUUAUGUUAUACAUCA